RNAcentral lists this unclassified non-coding RNA (1866 nucleotides) under Hevea brasiliensis (rubber tree). The record is from RNAcentral. Lineage: Eukaryota; Viridiplantae; Streptophyta; Magnoliopsida; Malpighiales; Euphorbiaceae.
AUCAAACUAAAUUGGGGCUAAAUAGGUCAUAUGUACAUUAGGACACAAUUUUGUUAUCUGUUAUAUCAAAUUUUGAAAUUAUUGAUCAAAAGUUGUUUUCCAUGUGAUGAGAUGCAAAUUUAGUGUGAAGUUUAGGUCUUUAGUUAAUUGUAAAGAAAAGUUCAAAAAUGUAACCUAUAGGAAUCAUAAGAGAUAAGAUAUCGGAUUCAUUUGUUAUCUAUUGAAAAAGUUUAUGCGCUGAGAUUUAACUAUACUCAUUGUUGUUGUAGUAGUUGAUAUGAGAAUAAUUGUUUUGUUAUUGAUAAGAAUCAAUACUGAUUUGUUAUAUAUUAAUUUUAUUCUCUUAUACCAUUAGGCUUAGGGAAAAUACAAUUUUUAGAUUCAAAUCCUAGAAUCCCAUCAAAAACACCAUAACCUGCAAGUAAAAAAGCUUUAAACCAUGUGUUCUUUUUUGAUUAUAUAUCAUUGGUCAAUAUCUGGAAAUCAUGUUUUGAAGCUAUUGUCAGGCAAGUGUGCUAAUUAGGGGCUUGCAGAUAAUAAGUUGGUGCUUUUAGCAACAUGCAUGGAUAAUAAGAGGAUACCUUUCAUAUGCUAUUCAUGCUUAUCUUUAAGCUUUGUUAGAUGGAAAAGAGAAGUGUGAAUCCCAGAUGGUCAGCAACAGACUUUUCUCUUAUUCUCCAUCAUUUUAGCAUUUUUAAUGAAGCAUCAUGUUCAAAGUUUUUGUAUACAUGUAAUAUGGUAUUAUUCAAUAUGUUGAGAACAUAAUUGUUGUCCACAUCUUUUGGAGUUUAUUAGUGGUAUGGUCAUGUUUUGAAACUCUGUUGGCAACUUGAGAUUUAAAUGAUGAAUUGAAAUCCUAAUUUUAUGAAUCAAUUCAAAUUGUGAGACUCGAUGCAAUUUUGAUUGCUACUCUCUAAAGGCAUCCACAAGAUGUAGUUUUAUGUAAGGUUAGUAAUCUACUGAUUUGCAUUUUAAAUUUUAAUUAAAUUGUUUUUGCGUGUUUGCGGUUCAAAAACAAGUGAUGGCUCAAGGCGUGACAUAAAAGAACCUGGAAUUCGAAUUACUGAGCCAACAGGUCCUCAAAUUCAUCAAAUUCAUCCUUCAGGAAUUAUAUAUCCUCCUGUAAAUCCAGUUGGUGGUAGUGAUCUUUUUCCUGGUCCUGGUGGUGGAAUGUAUCCAAUGAGGGGUGGCUUUGGCACUGGUGGGAGCAUGCUUCUAGGGCCUAAUGAUCCUCAUUGGUUUGGUGGAGAGUCAAAUUUUCCUGGUGGACAACCGGGUGUUCCUCCAGGUGCUCGUUUUGAUCCCUAUGGUCCACCUGGGGUUCCUGGUUUUGAGCCUAACCGAUUUGUUAGAAACCCACGCAGGCCUGGAAGGGACACUCAUCCAGACCUCGAGCAUUUCAGGAGUGAUUCGGAUUUCAUUUAACAUGUUUCUUGAAACUUUGCAUUUUCCCCUUGUUCUGCUUUUGUAUAAACGUUUGUUAGAUGAAAGUUUGCCAGUAUAUCGGUUUGUCUACAACGUUUUUGUAGCUAGUCUACAAGUCACAAGGCAUUGUAUAUAUUGAUGGACUAGGAAUUUCGGCAUGCUGAUGGGUUUUAUGAGUAAUAAUCCUAAGAGCCCUAUUUCUGGUAAAUAAUAAGUUAUACCAUCAUAUUUUCUGUACGUAAUUUGCUGUGCUUGUGUAGAAUGGAUGGCCAAAUCUAACUUUUAUGUACUUUGAGCUCCAGCACCGAGUUAUUAAGUCAUUAGGGGUGGACUUGGGAAUGGCAAUGGAGCAGGGGCAGGGAGUUCGUCCCCACCCUCCGCAUUUUCUCUCCACACCAGCCCUAUGCUGUCUAUAGGGGACGAAUUUUCCGCAUAUCUUGU